Molecule: ribosomal RNA, 1550 nt
Filed under: Klebsiella pneumoniae
Lineage: Bacteria; Pseudomonadati; Pseudomonadota; Gammaproteobacteria; Enterobacterales; Enterobacteriaceae
Description: bacterial SSU rRNA
Rfam family: Bacterial small subunit ribosomal RNA
Source: RNAcentral
AAAUUGAAGAGUUUGAUCAUGGCUCAGAUUGAACGCUGGCGGCAGGCCUAACACAUGCAAGUCGAGCGGUAGCACAGAGAGCUUGCUCUCGGGUGACGAGCGGCGGACGGGUGAGUAAUGUCUGGGAAACUGUCUGAUGGAGGGGGAUAACUACUGGAAACGGUAGCUAAUACCGCAUAAUGUCGCAAGACCAAAGUGGGGGACCUUCGGGCCUCAUGCCAUCAGAUGUGCCCAGAUGGGAUUAGCUAGUAGGUGGGGUAACGGCUCACCUAGGCGACGAUCCCUAGCUGGUCUGAGAGGAUGACCAGCCACACUGGAACUGAGACACGGUCCAGACUCCUACGGGAGGCAGCAGUGGGGAAUAUUGCACAAUGGGCGCAAGCCUGAUGCAGCCAUGCCGCGUGUGUGAAGAAGGCCUUCGGGUUGUAAAGCACUUUCAGCGGGGAGGAAGGCGGUGAGGUUAAUAACCUCAUCGAUUGACGUUACCCGCAGAAGAAGCACCGGCUAACUCCGUGCCAGCAGCCGCGGUAAUACGGAGGGUGCAAGCGUUAAUCGGAAUUACUGGGCGUAAAGCGCACGCAGGCGGUCUGUCAAGUCGGAUGUGAAAUCCCCGGGCUCAACCUGGGAACUGCAUUCGAAACUGGCAGGCUAGAGUCUUGUAGAGGGGGGUAGAAUUCCAGGUGUAGCGGUGAAAUGCGUAGAGAUCUGGAGGAAUACCGGUGGCGAAGGCGGCCCCCUGGACAAAGACUGACGCUCAGGUGCGAAAGCGUGGGGAGCAAACAGGAUUAGAUACCCUGGUAGUCCACGCCGUAAACGAUGUCGAUUUGGAGGUUGUGCCCUUGAGGCGUGGCUUCCGGAGCUAACGCGUUAAAUCGACCGCCUGGGGAGUACGGCCGCAAGGUUAAAACUCAAAUGAAUUGACGGGGGCCCGCACAAGCGGUGGAGCAUGUGGUUUAAUUCGAUGCAACGCGAAGAACCUUACCUGGUCUUGACAUCCACAGAACUUUCCAGAGAUGGAUUGGUGCCUUCGGGAACUGUGAGACAGGUGCUGCAUGGCUGUCGUCAGCUCGUGUUGUGAAAUGUUGGGUUAAGUCCCGCAACGAGCGCAACCCUUAUCCUUUGUUGCCAGCGGUCCGGCCGGGAACUCAAAGGAGACUGCCAGUGAUAAACUGGAGGAAGGUGGGGAUGACGUCAAGUCAUCAUGGCCCUUACGACCAGGGCUACACACGUGCUACAAUGGCAUAUACAAAGAGAAGCGACCUCGCGAGAGCAAGCGGACCUCAUAAAGUAUGUCGUAGUCCGGAUUGGAGUCUGCAACUCGACUCCAUGAAGUCGGAAUCGCUAGUAAUCGUAGAUCAGAAUGCUACGGUGAAUACGUUCCCGGGCCUUGUACACACCGCCCGUCACACCAUGGGAGUGGGUUGCAAAAGAAGUAGGUAGCUUAACCUUCGGGAGGGCGCUUACCACUUUGUGAUUCAUGACUGGGGUGAAGUCGUAACAAGGUAACCGUAGGGGAACCUGCGGUUGGAUCACCUCCUUACCUUAAAGAA